This 253-nucleotide ribosomal RNA is filed under the name uncultured bacterium. RNAcentral's name for it is "partial 16S ribosomal RNA". It matches the Rfam family "Bacterial small subunit ribosomal RNA", at positions 524 to 776 of the family's 1533-position model. The record is from RNAcentral.
UACGUAGGGUGCGAGCGUUAAUCGGAAUUACUGGGCGUAAAGCGUACGCAGGCGGCUGCGCAAGACAGGGGUGAAAUCCCCGGGCCUAACCUGGGAACUGCACUUGUGACUGCGCGGCUAGAGUCCGUAAGAGGGGGGUGGAAUUCCACGUGUAGCAGUGAAAUGCGUAGAGAUGUGGAGGAACACCGAUGGCGAAGGCAGCCCCCUGGGAUGAGACUGACGCUCAGGUACGAAAGCGUGGGGAGCACACAGG